AGGCCAGGCAAAUAGAUCCUGGAAGUGCUGAAGUGACUGCGGCAUUGAGGAAUGUAAGAUCUGUAGCAAAUGCCCGAGCUGAGGGGAACAGGCUGUUCAAUUCUGGAAAGUUUGUAGAAGCUUGUUUAGCCUAUGGGGAAGGGCUCAAACUCGAUCCCUCCAACCCUGUCCUCUAUUGCAAUAGAGCAGCCUGCAGGUCGAAACUUGGCCAGUGGGAGCGGUCUGUCGAUGAUUGCAAUGAGGCACUUAAGAUCCAACCUAAUUACACGAAGGCACUUCUGCGGCGUGCUUCCUCCAGUGGCAAACUUGAGCGCUGGGCUGAAUCUGUUCAAGACUAUGAAAUCCUACGAAAGGAGCUUCCAGGUGAUGCUGAUGUGGCUGAAGCCCUUGUCCAUGCCCAACUUGCACUGAAGACAUCUCGUGGUGAGGUCUCUACUUUGAGGCUUGGUGGUGAGGUUGAGGAAGUUACUGCACCGGGACAAUUCCAAGCAGCAAUUUCUACUCCAGGAGUCCAUGUCGCAUUUUUCUCUGAGCCAUCGAACCAGGACUGCAUCCAGAUGAGCCAAUUUGUAGACACCCUAUGCAACAAAUACCCGUCAGUGAAUUUUCUCAAGAUUGACAUCCACAAGCGCCUCGUUGCAGAGGCCGAGCGAGUCAAGAUGGUCCCAACUUUUUCAAUAUACAAGAACGGCGCAAGGGUGAAGGAGCUGAUCCGCCCCAACCCGCAGACGCUGGAGUAUGCGAUGAGAUGCAUUGGUCUCUAAGCCUUCAUUGUCUUUGAUCUGAAGA
RNAcentral lists this unclassified non-coding RNA (789 nucleotides) under Hevea brasiliensis (rubber tree). Lineage: Eukaryota; Viridiplantae; Streptophyta; Magnoliopsida; Malpighiales; Euphorbiaceae. The record is from RNAcentral.